GAACAAUUGCAAAAUGAAAACGAAGUGGUAGCUGGUGAAAACGAAUCCACGUUCUGCACGUACACAAAUGGACAUAUUAGGUGUUUUAUAAUAAUCGCAGAUGGUCACAUGAGCAAAGAGAUUUAACUGAACCGGUAGGCAUCAGUCUGAAGCGAAUGUGCAAUUACAAAAGCCCAGUACAGCUGUAACGCAGUGCAGUUGGACGAAUCCCAAUGACUGGUUACGGCUCAAGAGUACCGUCAACAACUGGGGCAGUUGGAAUGAACAAGCUCCACAUUAAUCAGCUAAGUUUUCAACCGUGUAUCAUCUGCAUUGGGGUAGCUGAGGUCCGUGUGCUUUGAGCCAAUGAAACUGCCACUAGCUAUUCCAAGUUGCAUAGUCGAUUAACUCCUAGAGGCUUCAGCUACCGUUCGCUGGAUCCGUCGCUUCACAGAAACGUGAAGUUCGUCAUUAGUAACGUGUACAGCUUUGACGGCAAACCCCUGUCGAUUUUCCUGUUUCAAAGUCAAGCCUUCGCGUCGGUUUAGUAAAUCCCAGAAGAGGUACGAGAAUAGCAGCUUCCAGUGGACAGCAUCGGCAUGACUCGUGGUUUGUACGCAAGUUCGACAUUCAAAAUUGUGACAAGAAAUACUGUGGUUCGACAAAAGUGGCCUUUCGCCUUCUUCGCGACCUUAGCUCGUCUAUAGAGCUCAAGAAACGCUCGUUGGCCGUCACCAUUAACCCUUUCCCUGGCACAUAAACAGAUGCCGUACUGCUUGGAACAUCAUCAACAUCGUUAGACGACGUUGUCCGGCAACAUAAAGAAAAACCUUAAGUGUCAUAUCUAAAUUUAUGAACAAGUCAGCCCUCGAUACGUUCAAGGAGCAUGACGUGCACACGUCUUAGAAUUGGGACGUUGCUAAACGUUCAUUUUCUCGGACCGUCAACGGACACUCGUCUCUUUUUAAGCGAAUUCGAUCUUCGGAACCGGUGUUGAACCAGAUCAGCAAAAGGAC
Varroa destructor (honeybee mite) is the source of this 995-nucleotide long non-coding RNA. RefSeq lists it as uncharacterized. The record is from RefSeq and is a predicted model, not a curated record. NCBI's taxonomy places the organism in Eukaryota, Metazoa, Arthropoda, Arachnida, Mesostigmata, Varroidae.